GUUAAGCAAGACUUCUUUCCGUUUUGCCUGCAUUAAACAUUGACGAAAGAUAAGUGCGAAGAAAAGACGGUCACAGGAAGGAUAUUCGGAGUGGAUAUCAGAAAAGUGUAAGUGCACUUCCUGUGAAAACGACAAAGACCCCGCCGGAUGUGUCAAUUUAGCGCCAUCUUGUAACUUGGAGAUGAGGCUCGGAAAGGAUUUUGAUAGAUGAAACUUGACCUCGAUGUCUCGAGAUGUUUCAUCUCAGAUAAACGCGACAAAUGAGAUAUUUUUAAAAUAACCACAAUAAGUUAAAGACACUUUAAAAGUUUCAUAAAAAAAUGUCAUCACUGGUAAUAAAAGAUUUUCUUAAUUAAUCCU
RNAcentral lists this unclassified non-coding RNA (360 nucleotides) under Melitaea cinxia (Glanville fritillary). RNAcentral describes it as "misc RNA ENSMCXG00005016800.1". The record is from RNAcentral. Lineage: Eukaryota; Metazoa; Arthropoda; Insecta; Lepidoptera; Nymphalidae.